GAUUAACGCUAGCGGCAGGCAUAAUACAUGCAAGUUGAACGGCAGCACAGGUAGCAAUACUGGGUGGCGAGUGGCGCACGGGUGCGUAACACGUAUGCAACCUACCCUAUACAGGCGAAUAACCUUUAGAAAUGAGGGCUAAUACGCCGUAGUAUUACAGAUGGGCAUCUAUUUGUAAUUAAAGAUUUAUCGGUAUAGGAUGGGCAUGCGUCCCAUUAGUUAGUUGGUAAGGUAACGGCUUACCAAGACGAUGAUGGGUAGGGGAUCUGAGAGGACUUACCCCCACACUGGUACUGAGACACGGACCAGACUCCUACGGGAGGCAGCAGUAAGGAAUAUUGGGCAAUGGCCGCGAGGCUGACCCAGCCAUGCCGCGUGCAGGAAGACGGCCUUAUGGGUUGUAAACUGCUUUUAUACGGGAAUAAUAGAGUGUACGCGUACAUUUAUGCAAGUAUCGUAUGUAUAAGCAUCGGCUAACUCCGUG
This 484-nucleotide ribosomal RNA is filed under the name uncultured bacterium. RNAcentral describes it as "partial 16S ribosomal RNA". It matches the Rfam family "Bacterial small subunit ribosomal RNA", at positions 28 to 507 of the family's 1533-position model. The record is from RNAcentral.